ACAGAGCCGGGAGAUGGCAUCCCUCCCAAACCGCCCUCGCGGCUGAUGAUGCCUACACUGCU
Molecule: non-coding RNA, 62 nt
Filed under: Thioalkalivibrio denitrificans
Lineage: Bacteria; Pseudomonadati; Pseudomonadota; Gammaproteobacteria; Chromatiales; Ectothiorhodospiraceae
Description: Fluoride sequence
Rfam family: Fluoride riboswitch aptamer (crcB RNA motif)
Source: Rfam by way of RNAcentral